GAUGAACGCUGGCGGCGUGCCUAAUACAUGCAAGUCGAGCGAACGGACGAGAAGCUUGCUUCUCUGAUGUUAGCGGCGGACGGGUGAGUAACACGUGGAUAACCUACCUAUAAGACUGGGAUAACUUCGGGAAACCGGAGCUAAUACCGGAUAAUAUUUUGAACCGCAUGGUUCAAAAGUGAAAGACGGUCUUGAUGUCACUUAUAGAUGGAUCCGCGCUGCAUUAGCUAGUUGGUAAGGUAACGGCUUACCAAGGCAACGAUGCAUAGCCGACCUGAGAGGGUGAUCGGCCACACUGGAACUGAGACACGGUCCAGACUCCUACGCGAGGCAGCGUUAGGGAAUCUUCCGCAAUGGGCGAAAGCCUGACGGAGCAACGCCGCGUGAGUGAUGAAGUUCUUCGGAUCGUAAAACUCUGUUAUUAGGUAAGAACAUAUGUGUAAGUAACUGUGCACAUCUUGACGGUACCUAAUCAGAAAGCCACGGCUAACUACGUG
Molecule: ribosomal RNA, 497 nt
Filed under: uncultured bacterium
Lineage: Bacteria
Description: partial 16S ribosomal RNA
Rfam family: Bacterial small subunit ribosomal RNA
Source: RNAcentral